GCGCAGCAGGCGAGAAUACUCCACAAUGCGCGAAAGCGUGAUGGGGGGAAUCUGAGUGGCCUACUUAGUAGGCCUUUUGCCAAGUGUAGCACGCUUGGCGAAUAAGUGCUGGGCAAGACCGGUGGCAGCCGCCACGGUAAUACCGGCAGCACGAGUGGUGUUCACGAUUAUUGGGCUUAAAGCGCUCGUAGCCGACCUGUGCCGUCUCGUGUGAAAUAUUGGUGCUCAACACCAAUGCGUGCAUGAGAUACCCACAGGUUAGGGAGCGGGUGAGGUCAGGGGUACUCAUGGGGAAGGGGUUAAAUCCUAUAAUCCUAUGAGGACCAACGGUGGCGAAGGCGCCUGACUAGAACGCAUCCGACGGUGAGAAGCGAAGGCUAGGAGAACGAAUCGGAUUAGAUACCCCCGUAGUCC
This 414-nucleotide ribosomal RNA is filed under the name uncultured bacterium. RNAcentral describes it as "bacterial SSU rRNA". It matches the Rfam family "Archaeal small subunit ribosomal RNA", at positions 330 to 747 of the family's 1478-position model. The record is from RNAcentral.